GGGGCGGGACUCUGUGACUUUUGUUGUCGCAGAGCCUGGGGACCUACCAUUUUGUUCUCAGACCAGUGGCAGUGGUGCUGCACCCGAUUUCCGUGGGUGUAGACAGACUGGACCCUGAUUUCUGCUGGUGAACGCUAUCGGAUUUUGAUUUCCCCCAGUGUAGAUAGAUUCACACCUGACACGCAACGGUGUAGACAGACUAGUGAAGAUAACCGGACCCUGAUUUCCACUGGUGUAGGUGGAGCGGACCGAUUUCCGCCGGUGUGUAAGGACCGGCCUUCUCUUCCCGCCAAGCGAGCUCCCUGGCGUAUGGGACGCUCUCUGCCGGGUAAACAGAACUCGUGAGCCUCUGGGCCUGAGCGAGCGGCCACCUUCCCCUCCUUGGGGAGUCGGGCGCGCGGACAGUUGAACAGGCUCUCACUGGCUCUGCAAAUGGAAUGCCUGGGUUUAUGGAGAACCUACAGAAACAAAGUACCCCCACCUCCAGCCCCACCCCGGGGAGACAGACGCCUUCCCUGUCGCUAGGCGACUGUAGGGCUCUGGCUCGUGGAGCACUUGCUGUGUGCUGGGGCUGCAGCCGGGUUCUCAGAGGAACCCGUCCCCGGUGGGGGGAGGGGGUGUCUCCCCGCCCCUCAGGUGUCUCGUCCUGUACUGUGUCCCGACUAGAAACAGGGGCGCUGACUCAGUCCGCCCACUGCGGACAGACGCCCUCAUUUAGAGAGAAAGUUCAGUUGUGCUGGAGCUGCGUGGCUUCCGGUACAGGGUGAAAGAAGCCAAGGGUGGCGGGAUGAGCUCUGCUCCCUCACCCAGUACCGGUGUUUUGAAUCCCUCUGGUGGCUCCUUGCCUCCCUCCUCUGCUCCGCUUCCUGGAACCUCCAGCCCCUCCCACUGGCCCAAGCAGACUCAGUCCCCUCUCAGUGCUGGGGUGUUACUCAUUGUCUGCACCUCCUUGAGGCCCCCUGCCUCAUCCUCUUCUCACCCCUUACCUGCCCAUGACGCUCCAGAAACAGGAGCCACAUAAACCUCCGCGUAAACAGGCGCUGCAUAAAUCUCUGUGGUCCCAGAGCACCUGCCAGGCCAGAGCUGGGGUAUGUUGGCAUGCUUCCAGAGCAGGUGACAUUGUCCCCGUUCAGCCCCUCCAGGAUCCAGGAGCUGACGUCAGGGGAGGACAACAGUGACCUGGAUGCCUGGGUAGGGUGCAGCUCUGAAAGCUCACUCUUGCCGGAGAUUUGGGGGCCCAUAGGGGUUGUGCCUCUAUUGUACCUAGGCAAAGCUGGGCCUGCACUGGGAAAGCCCAGGAGUCCUCAUGUGCUGUCUCCAGCCGCAAUUUCUAAGGAUCUGAUUCUUUCUUUGCUGUGUAUCUGUAGAGUCAGGGAUGUCUUCUAAGAAGUUUUCCCCAAAACUUGGACUAUUGAAAUGGCUCAGUUUAUUCAGAAGGUGUUUAUUGGUCACUGGCUUUUGGCCAGUCACUGCAUGGCACCUGUCAGGCCCCUUGGGGAUCUGACAUUCCAAUGGAGAGAGACAAUAAACCAAUGAACAGAGAAAUACCUCUGAAUAAGGCAGAUGGUCAAGCCAGAGAAGACUGUUCAGGGACCAGAAGAAAGGGGGGGAGGGAGCUGCUCAUGAUUUCCAGGCAGAAGGAGCCACCUGUGUAAAGGCCCUGAGGCGGAAAUAGAUCUGGUGUGCUUGAGGGACAGCAGGAAAGCCGGUGUACCCAGGAGCACGGUGAAUGAGGGCACGCACGUGCGAAGGAGACAAGGCUGGAAAGGCUGAAGGGAUAAGUAAGUCAUAGUGAUGAGUUUUGUUUUAUUCUGAGUGUUGUGGGAAACCACCGUGGAGAGAGUUUGGAGAGGAAGCAACAUUAUCGGAUACAUUCCAAACAUCUCACCUGGCUGCAGUGUGGACACCACAGCUGCCUGAGGCAGGAAGAACAGUCAGGAAGCGACUGCCAGGACCUUGGUGAGAGCGAUGGGAGCUGGCUUAAGGUGUUUUGUUUGCUCACUGUUGGCGGAUGUGGCAGUGAAUUCACGUCAGCAAAUCGCCUCAAGGCUCACACAUGCGAGGGACACCUGCACCGGGCAGUGGAGUCACAAGUCCUCACCCAGCACCACAACGGCUCAGGGUCAGAGGCAUCCUAAGCGCAUCGACGUGAGAAUGGAAAAGCGAAUUGUGACCUGUGUGCAAAGAAAUACAGCACGUACAGUGAAUGAACACAGAGAAGCCUCAACAGCAAUGCUGAGUAAAACAGACAGCAAAUUACAAAAGGAUCGGAACGGCAUGGUGUCAUUUAGAUUAUAGCAAAGAAUAUGAUAGCAGGAAAUACGUCCGCAGUCACCAAACAUCACAGAGCAGCUCUGCCAAACGGAUGUGAGGGCCACUCAGGGACACAGCGGCACAAAGAUGAACUCUUCUUGGACCCAGAACAGGACUUUCCUUCUGAGCCCGCGUGCCCUCGACAAGGGGCUGGCUGCCGACCCUGUUCCCGGGUCACCAAGCACGCUGGCCGCUGGCUGUGAGGCGAGAGCAUUUGUCUCCCCGGCAGCCCUGAGGGGAAAUCCCCAUGUCCUGGUUACCUGAUUCUUCUUCUCCAGAAACACGUAAACAAUUGCUCACUGUGGAAAGUAGGAAAGCGAGCAUGAUCAACAAGUGCCUGUGUGAAGCAGCUGAAAGUUUUACUAAAGUACGACAAGAAAAGAGCUGCAUUUGUUUAAAAGUUUUGCUGCCGUGUUUACAUGUUUUUUCCUCAAA
Molecule: long non-coding RNA, 2748 nt
Organism: Eubalaena glacialis (North Atlantic right whale)
Lineage: Eukaryota; Metazoa; Chordata; Mammalia; Artiodactyla; Balaenidae
Exons: 3
Source: RefSeq, a predicted model, not a curated record